GACGAACGCUGGCGGCGUGCUUAACACAUGCAAGUCGAACGGAAAGGCCCUGCUUUUGUGGGGUGCUCGAGUGGCGAACGGGUGAGUAACACGUGAGUAACCUGCCCUUGACUUUGGGAUAACUUCAGGAAACUGGGGCUAAUACCGGAUAGGAGCUCCUGCUGCAUGGUGGGGGUUGGAAAGUUUCGGCGGGUGGGGAUGGACUCGCGGCUUAUCAGCUUGUUGGUGGGGUAGUGGCUUACCAAGGCUUUGACGGGUAGCCGGCCUGAGAGGGUGACCGGCCACAUUGGGACUGAGAUACGGCCCAGACUCCUACGGGAGGCAGCAGUGGGGAAUAUUGCACAAUGGGCGGAAGCCUGAUGCAGCAGCGCCGCGUGCGGGAUGACGGCCUUCGGGUUGUAAACCGCAUUAGCCUGUGACGAAGCGUGAGUGACGGUAAUGGGUAAAGAAGCACCGGCUAACUACGUG
RNAcentral lists this ribosomal RNA (468 nucleotides) under uncultured bacterium. RNAcentral describes it as "partial 16S ribosomal RNA". It matches the Rfam family "Bacterial small subunit ribosomal RNA", at positions 28 to 507 of the family's 1533-position model. The record is from RNAcentral.